RNAcentral lists this transfer RNA (65 nucleotides) under Blattisocius tarsalis. RNAcentral describes it as "tRNA-Thr". The record is from RNAcentral. Lineage: Eukaryota; Metazoa; Arthropoda; Arachnida; Mesostigmata; Blattisociidae.
GACCCUAUAUUUUAUUUACUAAAAUAUUAGUCUUGUAAACUAACAAAGAAACCUUUCUAAGGUCA